Pecten maximus is the source of this 661-nucleotide long non-coding RNA. RefSeq lists it as uncharacterized. The transcript is spliced from 3 exons. The record is from RefSeq and is a predicted model, not a curated record. NCBI's taxonomy places the organism in Eukaryota, Metazoa, Mollusca, Bivalvia, Pectinida, Pectinidae.
ACCAUGGUACUUUACUUUGUUUGUAUUUCGCGCUCAAAGACUUGUACGUGAACCGGAUGUGUGACCGGAUAUAGGAAAAAGGACAUUCCAGAACGUGCGGUGUAAACACGUCAACAUGCAGAUGUAGCGGCACAACACCGCGGCUACUUACUCAUUUAUUGGACAUAAAUACGCAAACUACAGCUUGCGUUUAACCCAUUGGUGAGGAUAGACCAUAAUGUGGUGUGGAUGAUCCUGGAAGGAUCAUGGUCAGAACAGAGUGCCAGACUGAUGCCUUCAAGUACGGUCAAGCACCGCCCUCGUAACAGGAGUAGGAUGUGGAUUACUGGUUGUGUCAGUACAUUCAAUACAAUCAACACUCGCUGGUGGUGAAGUUCUUUUGUCGUCCACAGAUAGGGCUCAACGGCAGUUAACCUGGAACUGUAACUACAAAUACUGACGGGGUAUAGCUAACUUAGAGCAGAGAGAACAAGGCAAAAUAUGAGCAAAACAGCAACAACUAAUAUAGACACCUUCGACAAUGUGCAGGAGAUUAAGACCAGUUCCAGGAGGACAUGCGUCUUCUGCUUCAUCGAAGACACCCGUCAUUUGAAAAUUUGACGUUAUCAAAUUGAGGACCGGCUUGAUAACCAGAUGCCGAAAAGCAGUGGACCCUUGGAAC